GUGAACGUUACCAAACUGUUGCCUCGGCGGGAUCUCUGCCCCGGGUGCGUCGCAGCCCCGGACCAAGGCGCCCGCCGGAGGACCAACCAAAACUCUUUUGUAUACCCCCUCGCGGGUUUUUAUAUAUCUGAGCCAUCUCGGCGCCUCUCGUAGGCGUUUCGAAAAUGAAUCAAAACUUUCAACAACGGAUCUCUUGGUUCUGGCAUCGAUGAAGAACGCAGCGAAAUGCGAUAAGUAAUGUGAAUUGCAGAAUUCAGUGAAUCAUCGAAUCUUUGAACGCACAUUGCGCCCGCCAGUAUUCUGGCGGGCAUGCCUGUCCGAGCGUCAUUUCAACCCUCGAACCCCUCCGGGGGGUCGGCGUUGGGGAUCGGCCCUUUACGGGGCCGGCCCCGAAAUACAGUGGCGGUCUCGCCGCAGCCUCUCCUGCGCAGUAGUUUGCACACUCGCAUCGGGAGCGCGGCGCGUCCAUUGCCGUUAAACACCCAACUUUCUGAAAUGUUGACCUCGGAUCAGGUAGGAAUACCCGCUGAACUUAAGCAUAUCAAUAAGCGGAGG
RNAcentral lists this ribosomal RNA (555 nucleotides) under Trichoderma spirale. Its description in RNAcentral is "eukaryotic LSU rRNA". The stretch from base 174 to 327 matches the Rfam family "5.8S ribosomal RNA". Lineage: Eukaryota; Fungi; Ascomycota; Sordariomycetes; Hypocreales; Hypocreaceae. The record is from RNAcentral.